RNAcentral lists this ribosomal RNA (253 nucleotides) under uncultured bacterium. RNAcentral's name for it is "partial 16S ribosomal RNA". It matches the Rfam family "Bacterial small subunit ribosomal RNA", at positions 524 to 776 of the family's 1533-position model. The record is from RNAcentral.
UACGUAGGGGGCUAGCGUUGUCCGGACUCAUUGGGCGUAAAGCGCGUGUAGGCGGCCCGGUAAGUCCGCUGUGAAAGUCGGGGGCUCAACCCUCGGAUGCCGGUGGAUACUGUCGGGCUCGAGUACGGAAGAGGCGAGUGGAAUUCCUGGUGUAGCGGUGAAAUGCGUAGAUAUCGAGAGGAACACCAGUGGCGAAGGCGAGUCUCUGGACAUUUCCUGACGCUGAGGCACGAAAGCCAGGGGAGCAAACGGG